CUUUAGUGGCGAACGGGUGAGUAACGCGUAAGCAAUCUGCCCCUAAGACGAGGAUAACAGUUGGAAACGACUGCUAAGACUGGAUAGGAGACAAGAAGGCAUCUUUUUGUUUUUAAAAGACCUAGCAAUAGGUAUGCUUAGGGAGGAGCUUGCGUCACAUUAGUUAGUUGGUGGGGUAAAGGCCUACCAAGACUAUGAUGUGUAGCCGGGCUGAGAGGUUGAACGGCCACAUUGGGACUGAGACACGGCCCAAACUCCUACGGGAGGCAGCAGUAGGGAAUUUUCGGCAAUGGAGGAAACUCUGACCGAGCAACGCCGCGUGAACGAUGAAGUAUUUCGGUACGUAAAGUUCUUUUAUUAGGGAAGAAUAAAUGAUGGAAAAAUCAUUCUGACGGUACCUAAUGAAUAAGCCCCGGCUAACUAUGUGCCAGCAGCCGCGGUAAUACAUAGGGGGCAAGCGUUAUCCGGAAUUAUUGGGCGUAAAGGGUGCGUAGGCGGUUAAAUAAGUUUAUGGUCUAAGUGCAAUGCUUAACAUUGUGAUGCUAUAAAAACUGUUUAGCUAGAGUAAGAUAGAGGCAAGUGGAAUUCCAUGUGUAGUGGUAAAAUGCGUAAAUAUAUGGAGGAACACCAGUAGCGAAGGCGGCUUGCUGGGUCUUUACUGACGCUGAGGCACGAAAGCGUGGGGAGCAAACAGGAUUAGAUACCCUGGUAGUCCACGCCGUAAACGAUGAGUACUAAAUGUUGGGUAAAACCAGUGUUGAAGUUAACACAUUAAGUACUCCGCCUGAGUAGUACGUACGCAAGUAUGAAACUUAAAGGAAUUGACGGGACUCCGCACAAGCGGUGGAUCAUGUUGUUUAAUUCGAAGGUACCCGAAAAACCUCACCAGGUCUUGACAUGCUUCUGCAAAGCUGUAGAAACACAGUGGAGGUUAUCAGUUGCACAGGUGGUGCAUGGUUGUCGUCAGCUCGUGUCGUGAGAUGUUGGGUUAAGUCCCGCAACGAGCGCAACCCUUAUUGUUAGUUGCCAGCACGUAAUGGUGGGGACUUUAGCAAGACUGCCAGUGAUAAAUUGGAGGAAGGUGGGGACGACGUCAAAUCAUCAUGCCCCUUAUGACCUGGGCUACAAACGUGAUACAAUGGCUGUUACAAAGGGUAGCUGAAACGUAAGUUUUUGGCGAAUCUCAAAAAAACAGUCUCAGUUCGGAUUGAAGUCUGCAACUCGACUUCAUGAAGUUGGAAUCGCUAGUAAUCGCGAAUCAGCAUGUCGCGGUGAAUACGUUCUCGGGGUU
Molecule: ribosomal RNA, 1291 nt
Filed under: Candidatus Phytoplasma asteris
Lineage: Bacteria; Bacillati; Mycoplasmatota; Mollicutes; Acholeplasmatales; Acholeplasmataceae
Description: bacterial SSU rRNA
Rfam family: Bacterial small subunit ribosomal RNA
Source: RNAcentral